Molecule: ribosomal RNA, 253 nt
Filed under: uncultured bacterium
Lineage: Bacteria
Description: partial 16S ribosomal RNA
Rfam family: Bacterial small subunit ribosomal RNA
Source: RNAcentral
CACGUAGGGCGCGAGCGUUGUCCGGAAUUAUUGGGCGUAAAGAGCUCGUAGGCGGCCUGUUGCGUCCGCUGUGAAAGCCCGGGGCUUAACCCCGGGUCUGCAGUGGAUACGGGCAGGCUAGAGGUAGGUAGGGGAGAAUGGAAUUCCCGGUGUAACGGUGAAAUGCGUAGAUAUCGGGAGGAACACCUGUGGCGAAAGCGGCGCACUGGACCAUAACUGACGCUGAUGCGCGAAAGCUAGGGGAGCAAACAGG